Long non-coding RNA from Esox lucius (northern pike), 1510 nucleotides. The record is from Ensembl. NCBI's taxonomy places the organism in Eukaryota, Metazoa, Chordata, Actinopteri, Esociformes, Esocidae.
UAGAUGCAUCCAUAACUCCAUUGCUAUAGCUUUAUAAUAGCUGUAUUACAUAAUUACCAGCUGAUGUGACAACAUAACUUUACUCUUCUAGUUAUCUUAGGGUCGUGACGGUGAUACACAGUAGGAUAUCCCAAAGCUUUCGGACCGUCCUCAUUCAGGGCUGGAACCGUGUGGUUUUCAGGCUGUUGAUUCCUAGGAACCGUGUGGACGUCUCACGUUGAGCUGGCAGACACAUGCCUACUGUCUGUGUUGCUUUGACCAAAGUGUGUCUGACUGUAGCCCAGUCGCGUUCACCAGCAGUUUUUUCCCCCUCCAGCCUGCAUCACUCAAACACAAAUAGCUUCUGCCACGACGCAGACAUCCCCCGUCGUCUUGGAAAAUGUGCAUUUGACUACGACGUGGGCCUUCCGUUAUUCUUUUGGAACUCUGCUCUGCUGAGUCAGUCCAGGUGGCACUGGUCGUAGUCCCGUCGUGUACUCUGCGUGGAGGUUCUGUCUACAUGUGCUGAAUGGGACUGGACAUGAUUUUACCUCUGUCAGUGAUGGAAACAACGGACGAAAUGAGAGGACUGGGUAGGGGCCAGGGUCGAUGUGUGUCACACUCUGAUGUCUGAGGAGAACGGCUGAAGACACUGCUGGGGAGAGAGUGGGGGAGAAAGAGACAAGGAGAAAGGAGGGGAGAAGCUGCUUUGAGGGAAAGGCCUUGGUUUCUACAGUGCCGGAGUCUCACAGCACAACAAUGGCUUGGGAGAUCGAGAGCAACCAGCUGAUGGAAUGCUGACGUGAAUGAACACACGACAAUGCAUGCUGUACCACAUGUGAUGUGUGUGUGACACAGUGUGGGUGUGGAUGGAGACUUUCGUCCAGAUUGAUAAACCAGUUUCUUUUAGCUGCUAUAAUGGUCCCUGGUAAUAACAUAUAAAAUAUGAACGAAUGUACUGCUGUAAUACUGCUGUAAUACUACUCUGUGAUCCAUGACUCCAUCGGGCCUGUUGGUGAACAGACAACAUCUUGUAAUCAAUAAUCUGAGUGGGAUUUAAGAUAAUCUUGAAAGAGAUACAUGCUGUCCUUCUGAAUCUAAGGAGAGCUGCGUAUCUGAGGAGAGCUGCGUAUCUGAGAGCUGAUCAUCUGAGGAGACCUGAGUAUCUGAGGAGAGCUGAGUUUCUGAGGAAUGAUGCGUAUCUAAUGAAAGAAGUGUAUCUAAUGAGAGAUAAGAUGUGUAUCUGAUGAGAGAUGUGAAUCCCAGGAAAUAUGUGUAUCUCAGAAGAAUCUCCCACUGCUUUUCUGAUUCAUAAAUACUUUUUAGUGACUCAUCCCACAAUCCUGAUUUUACAGACUGCCAUAUAUUUAGUCACACAUUUUAUCAUGCUCAUGUUUUUUGUAACAGGGCAUUAAAUUACAGUAAACAGCGUUAUAUUUUCGGCUGCUAUUUUCUGCUGAAACAAUGCUUUUCUGACUGCAUUUAAAUAUGACUGUUUUCAUGACUGUGUUAGCUCACCGAACUAAAGCCU